This 198-nucleotide long non-coding RNA is filed under the name Mus spicilegus (steppe mouse). RNAcentral describes it as "lncRNA (ENSMSIG00000020865.1)". The record is from RNAcentral. Lineage: Eukaryota; Metazoa; Chordata; Mammalia; Rodentia; Muridae.
CUCCGCUGAUCUGCAACAGAUGCAAACAUUUUGUUCUAGUUUCACCGAAUAGGGGAACAGUGGCCGCCAAGGAUAUCUUCACCGAGCCCUCUCGUGGCCACCAACAGGGCUUCCAGACCUGACUGCUCCAUCUCACCAGUGAAAACUGGUAAACACUGGCAUUUCAUGCUGAGGGAAAAACCCAAGCCCUUCCUCCAG